AAGGUAGCGUAAUAAAUCGCCCUUUAAUUGUGGGCCUGUAUGAACGGACAAACGAGAGAAACACUGUCUCUUAAAGUAAAAAUAAAAAUUAACCUUCAGGUGAAGAGGCCUGAUUACAAUUAAAGGACAAAAAGACCCUGUAGAGCUUAGCUUAACAGAGGCUAUAUAAAAUAAUUAAUUUAUAUUUUAACCUAAUACCUUUAUAUAAGCUUAGCUGGGGCGGCUAAGGAAAAUACAUCUUCCAUUUAUACCCAACGGUUUAUAAACCAUCCAAACUGACCCUAUAAAGAUCAAAAAACAAAGCUACCUCAGGGAUAACAGAUUAAUCCUUCUCAAGAGUUCGCAUUGACAGAAGGGCUUGAUACCUCGAUGUUGGCUUAAGAUACCCAAUAAAUUGCAGCAGU
RNAcentral lists this ribosomal RNA (404 nucleotides) under Polycirrus idex. Its description in RNAcentral is "Polycirrus sp. i GD-2020 partial large subunit ribosomal RNA". It matches the Rfam family "Bacterial large subunit ribosomal RNA", at positions 1953 to 2562 of the family's 2925-position model. Lineage: Eukaryota; Metazoa; Annelida; Polychaeta; Terebellida; Terebellidae. The record is from RNAcentral.